GUGCCAGCAGCCGCGGUAAUACGGAGGGUGCAAGCGUUGUUCGGAAUUACUGGGCGUAAAGCGCGUGUAGGCGGGUGGGUAAGUCAGAUGUGAAAGCCUUCCGCUCAACGGAAGAAGGGCAUUUGAAACUGCCUGUCUGGAGUACGGGAGAGGAGAGUGGAAUUCCCGGUGUAGAGGUGAAAUUCGUAGAUAUCGGGAGGAACACCAGUGGCGAAGGCGGCUCUCUGGCCCAAUACUGACGCUGAGACGCGAAAGCGUGGGGAGCAAACAGGAUUAGAUACCCGGGUAGUCC
This 292-nucleotide ribosomal RNA is filed under the name uncultured bacterium. RNAcentral's name for it is "partial 16S ribosomal RNA". It matches the Rfam family "Bacterial small subunit ribosomal RNA", at positions 505 to 796 of the family's 1533-position model. The record is from RNAcentral.